GUCUAGUGGUCUAGGACACCGCCCUUUCACGGCGGUAACAGGGGUUCGAAUCCCCUUGG
RNAcentral lists this transfer RNA (59 nucleotides) under Pseudo-nitzschia pungens. It matches the Rfam family "tRNA", at positions 10 to 65 of the family's 71-position model. Rfam says of the family: Transfer RNA (tRNA) molecules are approximately 80 nucleotides in length. Their secondary structure includes four short double-helical elements and three loops (D, anti-codon, and T loops). Further hydrogen bonds mediate the characteristic L-shaped molecular structure. tRNAs have two regions of fundamental functional importance: the anti-codon, which is responsible for specific mRNA codon recognition, and the 3' end, to which the tRNAs corresponding amino acid is attached (by aminoacyl-tRNA synthetases). tRNAs cope with the degeneracy of the genetic code in two manners: having more than one tRNA (with a specific anti-codon) for a particular amino acid; and 'wobble' base-pairing, i.e. permitting non-standard base-pairing at the 3rd anti-codon position. The record is from RNAcentral. Lineage: Eukaryota; Bacillariophyta; Bacillariophyceae; Bacillariales; Bacillariaceae.